UUGGCUUGGAAGCAGCCAUUCAUUUAAAGAGUGCGUAACAGCUCACUAGUCGAGCGGUUCGGCAUGGAUAAUAAUCGGGCAUAAGCAUAUUACCGAAGCUAUGGCAACGAAAGUUGGGUAGGGGAGCAUUCUAUCGGCGUAGAAGCAUCACUGUGAGGUGUUGUGGAGCUUAUAGAAAAGAAAAUGUAGGCAUAAGUAACGAUAAAGCAGGCGAGAAACCUGCUCACCGAAAGACUAAGGGUUCCUCAGCCAUGCUAAUCAGCUGAGGGUUAGUCGGGACCUAACGCGAACCCGAGAGGGGAAGUGGAUGGACAAUGGGUUAAUAUUCCCAUACUUGCUCACGAAUAAAGGGGACGGUUCAGCCAGACUACUGGAGACUGACGGAAUAGUCAAGACCUAGCCUACGGGCGAAGUUGUUGUAGAGUAACUGGAUCCAAGAAAAGCCGAAGUGAAGCAACCCGUACCAUAAACCGACACAGGUAGUCGAGGAGAGAAUCCUAAGGUGCUCGAGUGAGUCGUGGCUAAGGAACUAGGCAAAAUAGUCUCGUAACUUCGGAAUAAGAGACGCCAACAGCGAUGUUGGCCGCAGUGAAGAGGCCCAGGCGACUGUUUAUCAAAAACACAGGACUCUGCUAAAUCGAAAGAUGCUGUAUAGGGUCUGACACCUGCCCGGUGCUGGAAGGUUAAGGAAGGUGCUUAGCGUAAGCGAAGGCAUUGACUGAAGCCCCAGUAAACGGCGGCCGUAACUAUAACGGUCCUAAGGUAGCGAAAUUCCUUGUCGGGUAAGUUCCGACCUGCACGAAUGGUGUAACGAUCUGGGCACUGUCUCAGCCACGAGCUCGGUGAAAUUGUAGUAUCGGUGAAGAUGCCGAUUACCCGCAAUGGGACGAAAAGACCCUGUGAACCUUUACUAUAACUUCGUAUUGACUUUGAGUAAGUAAUGUGUAGGAUAGGUGGGAGGCUAUGAAGCUGGCACGCUAGUGUUGGUGGAGCCGUUGUUGAAAUACCACCCUUUGCUUACUUGGAGCCUAACUUCUGAAUAAGAGUAAGAAGGACAUUGCGUGGUGGGUAGUUUGACUGGGGUGGUCGCCUCCAAAAGAGUAACGGAGGCUUUCAAAGGUACCCUCAGCACGCUUGGUAACCGUGCGUAGAGUGUAAUGGCAUAAGGGUGCUUGACUGUGAGACCAACAAGUCGAUCAGGUGCGAAAGCAGGACAUAGUGAUCCGGUGGUUCCGUAUGGAAGGGCCAUCGCUCAUAGGAUAAAAGGUACUCCGGGGAUAACAGGCUAGUCUCCCCCAAGAGCUCACAUCGACGGGGAGGUUCGGCACCUCGAUGUCGGCUCGUCACAUCCUGGGGCUGGAGAAGGUCCCAAGGGUU
Molecule: ribosomal RNA, 1377 nt
Filed under: human metagenome
Description: bacterial LSU rRNA
Rfam family: Bacterial large subunit ribosomal RNA
Source: RNAcentral